Molecule: ribosomal RNA, 393 nt
Filed under: uncultured bacterium
Lineage: Bacteria
Description: partial 16S ribosomal RNA
Rfam family: Bacterial small subunit ribosomal RNA
Source: RNAcentral
AUACGGAGGAUGCGAGCGUUAUCCGGAUUUAUUGGGUUUAAAGGGUGCGUAGGCUGUGCGUUAAGUCAGGGGUGAAAUGCCGUCGCUCAACGACGGAGCUGCCCUUGAUACUGGCGUGCUGGAGUACGGAUGCCGUUGGAGGAAUGAGUGGUGUAGCGGUGAAAUGCUUAGAUAUCACUCAGAACACCGAUUGCGAAGGCAUCUGACGAAUCCGUCACUGACGCUGAGGCACGAAAGCGUGGGGAUAGAACAGGAUUAGAUACCCUGGUAGUCCACACUGUAAACGAUGAUAACUCGCUGUCGGCGAUACAUAGUCGGUGGCCAAGCGAAAGCGAUAAGUUAUCCACCUGGGGAGUACGACCGCAAGGUUGAAACUCAAAUGAAUUGACGGGG